UUAAGUGAAUAAGGGCGCACGGUGGAUGCCUUGGCACUAGGAGCCGAUGAAGGACGGGACUAACACCGAUAUGCUUUGGGGAGCUGUACGUAAGCUAUGAUCCAGAGAUUUCCGAAUGGGGGAACCCAACAUCUUUAAUAGGAUGUUACGAUUGUGUGAAUACAUAGCACAUUCGAGGUAGACGCAGAGAACUGAAACAUCUAAGUACCUGCAGGAAGAGAAAGAAAAUUCGAUUCCCUGAGUAGCGGCGAGCGAAACGGGAAAAGCCCAAACCAGCAAGCUUGCUUGUUGGGGUUGUAGGACUCCAAUAUGGUAGUUCUUUCAGAUAGUCGAAUGACUUGGAAAAGUCAGUCAAAGAGGGUAAAAACCCCGUAGACGAAAUGUGGAAGACACCUAGGAGGAUCCUGAGUACGGCGGAACACGAGAAAUUCCGUCGGAAUCCGGGAGGACCAUCUCCCAAGGCUAAAUACUCCCUAGUGACCGAUAGUGAACCAGUACCGUGAGGGAAAGGUGAAAAGCACCCCGGAAGGGGAGUGAAAUAGAACCUGAAACCGUGUGCCUACAACAAGUCAAAGCCCGUUAAUGGGUGAUGGCGUGCCUUUUGUAGAAUGAACCGGCGAGUUACGAUUGCAUGCGAGGUUAAGUUGAAGAGACGGAGCCGCAGCGAAAGCGAGUCUGAAUAGGGCGUUUGAGUAUGUAGUCGUAGACCCGAAACCAUGUGAUCUACCCAUGUCCAGGUUGAAGGUGCGGUAAAACGCACUGGAGGACCGAACCCACGUACGUUGAAAAGUGCGGGGAUGAGGUGUGGGUAGCGGAGAAAUUCCAAACGAACUUGGAGAUAGCUGGUUCUCUCCGAAAUAGCUUUAGGGCUAGCCUCGGAAUUGAGAAUGAUGGAGGUAGAGCACUGUUUGGACUAGGGGCCCAUCUCGGGUUACCGAAUUCAGAUAAACUCCGAAUGCCAUUCAUUCAUAUCCGGGAGUCAGACUGUGAGUGAUAAGAUCCAUAGUCGAAAGGGAAACAGCCCAGACCACCAGCUAAGGUCCCAAAAUAUAUGUUAAGUGGAAAAGGAUGUGGGGUUGCACAGACAACUAGGAUGUUGGCUUAGAAGCAGCCAUCAUUUAAAGAGUGCGUAAUAGCUCACUAGUCGAGUGACCCUGCGCCGAAAAUGUACCGGGGCUAAACAUAUUACCGAAGCUGUGGAGUACACCUUUAGGUGUAUUGGUAGGAGAGCGUUCUAAGGGCGUUGAAGGCAGAUCGUGAGGACUGCUGGAGCGCUUAGAAGUGAGAAUGCCGGUAUGAGUAGCGAAAGACAGGUGAGAAUCCUGUCCACCGAAUGACUAAGGUUUCCUGGGGAAGGCUCGUCCGCCCAGGGUUAGUCGGGACCUAAGCCGAGGCCGACAGGCGUAGGCGAUGGAUAACAGGUUGAUAUUCCUGUACCCGUUGUUUUUGUUUGAGCAAUGGAGGGACGCAGGAGGCUAAGGAAUGCAGACGAUCGGAAAUGUCUGUCCAAGCAGUAAGUCUGAAGAGGAGUCAAAUGCUUCUUUUCUUAAGGACAAGCUGUGAUGGGGAGGGAAAUAAUAGUACCGAAGUUCCUGAUGUCACACUGCCGAGAAAAGCUUCUAGUGAGAAAACAGCGGCCCGUACCGCAAACCGACACAGGUAGUCGAGGAGAGAAUCCUAAGGUGAGCGAGAGAACUCUCGUUAAGGAACUCGGCAAAAUGACCCCGUAACUUCGGGAGAAGGGGUGCUGAUCAUACGAUCAGCCGCAGUGAAUAGGCCCAAGCGACUGUUUAUCAAAAACACAGGUCUCUGCAAAAUCGUAAGAUGAAGUAUAGGGGCUGACGCCUGCCCGGUGCUGGAAGGUUAAGAGGAGUGCUUAGCGCAAGCGAAGGUACGAAUUGAAGCCCCAGUAAACGGCGGCCGUAACUAUAACGGUCCUAAGGUAGCGAAAUUCCUUGUCGGGUAAGUUCCGACCCGCACGAAAGGCGUAACGAUUUGGGCACUGUCUCAACGAGAGACUCGGUGAAAUUUUAGUACCUGUGAAGAUGCAGGUUACCCGCGACAGGACGGAAAGACCCCAUGGAGCUUUACUGUAGUUUGAUAUUGAGUGUCUGUACCGCAUGUACAGGAUAGGUAGGAGCCGUAGAAAUCGGAACGCUAGUUUCGAUGGAGGCGCUGGUGGGAUACUACCCCUGCGUUAUGGCCACUCUAACCCGCACCACUAAUCGUGGUGGGAGACAGUGUCAGAUGGGCAGUUUGACUGGGGCGGUCGCCUCCUAAAAGGUAACGGAGGCGCCCAAAGGUUCCCUCAGAAUGGUUGGAAAUCAUUCGAAGAGUGUAAAGGCAGAAGGGAGCUUGACUGCGAGACCAACAAGUCGAGCAGGGACGAAAGUCGGGCUUAGUGAUCCGGUGGUUCCGCAUGGAAGGGCCAUCGCUCAACGGAUAAAAGCUACCCUGGGGAUAACAGGCUUAUCUCCCCCAAGAGUCCACAUCGACGGGGAGGUUUGGCACCUCGAUGUCGGCUCGUCGCAUCCUGGGGCUGUAGUCGGUCCCAAGGGGUGGGCUGUUCGCCCAUUAAAGCGGCACGCGAGCUGGGUUCAGAACGUCGUGAGACAGUUCGGUCCCUAUCCGUCGCGGGCGUUGGAAAUUUGAGAGGAGCUGUCCUUAGUACGAGAGGACCGGGAUGGACUUACCGCUGGUGUACCAGUUGUUCUGCCAAGGGCAUUGCUGGGUAGCUAUGUAGGGAAGGGAUAAACGCUGAAAGCAUCUAAGUGUGAAGCCCACCUCAAGAUGAGAUUUCCCAUUUCUUUAAGAAAGUAAGAUCCCUGAGAGAUGAUCAGGUAGAUAGGUCAGGAGUGGAAGUACAGUGAUGUAUGAAGCGGACUGAUACUAAUCGAUCGAGGACUUAACCAA
This 2913-nucleotide ribosomal RNA is filed under the name Enterococcus faecium EnGen0048. RNAcentral describes it as "bacterial LSU rRNA". It matches the Rfam family "Bacterial large subunit ribosomal RNA". Lineage: Bacteria; Bacillati; Bacillota; Bacilli; Lactobacillales; Enterococcaceae. The record is from RNAcentral.